UUGGAGGGCAAGUCUGGUGCCAGCAGCCGCGGUAAUUCCAGCUCCAAUAGCGUAUAUUAAAGUUGUUGCAGUUAAAAAGCUCGUAGUUGAAUUUCGAGACCGGUUUAUUGGUCGUGCUUUUGUACGUACUGGUAUUAUUGGUUUCUCCUUUCUGACGAAUCUUAAUGCCAUUAAUUUGGUGUUUUGGGGAAUCAGGACUGUUACUUUGAAAAAAUUAGAGUGUUUAAAGCAGGCUCACGCUUGAAUACAUUAGCACGGAAUAACGGAAUAGGACGUUUGAUUCUAUUUUGUUGGUUUCUAGGAUCGACGUAAUGAUUAAUAGGGAUAGUUGGGGGCAUUAGUAUUCAAUUGUCAGAGGUGAAAUUCUUGGAUUUAUUGAAGACUAACUACUGCGAAAGCAUUUGCCAAGGAUGUUUUCAUUAAUCAAGAACGAAAGUUAGGGGAUCGAAGACGAUCAGAUACCGUCGUAGUCUUAACCAUAAACUAUGCCGACUAGGGAUCGGAUGAUGUUAAUUUUUUAAUGACUCAUUCGGCACCUUACGGGAAACCAAAGUGUUUGGGUUC
RNAcentral lists this ribosomal RNA (564 nucleotides) under uncultured Glomeromycotina. Its description in RNAcentral is "SSU rRNA". It matches the Rfam family "Eukaryotic small subunit ribosomal RNA", at positions 548 to 1114 of the family's 1831-position model. The record is from RNAcentral. Lineage: Eukaryota; Fungi; Glomeromycota.